CUCCGGGCUCCGUGCAACCGGGCGCCGCAAACCCCGCCAGGUCCGGAAGGAAGCAACGGUAGCAGCCCACCCGGUGUGCCGCGGAUCACCCGGGGUCU
RNAcentral lists this signal recognition particle RNA (98 nucleotides) under Bryobacterales bacterium. RNAcentral's name for it is "signal recognition particle sRNA small type". It matches the Rfam family "Bacterial small signal recognition particle RNA". Rfam says of the family: The signal recognition particle (SRP) is a universally conserved ribonucleoprotein involved in the co-translational targeting of proteins to membranes. Lineage: Bacteria; Pseudomonadati; Acidobacteriota; Terriglobia; Bryobacterales. The record is from RNAcentral.